This 480-nucleotide ribosomal RNA is filed under the name uncultured bacterium. Its description in RNAcentral is "bacterial SSU rRNA". It matches the Rfam family "Bacterial small subunit ribosomal RNA", at positions 29 to 524 of the family's 1533-position model. The record is from RNAcentral.
AUUAAACGCUGGCGGCAUGCCUUACACAUGCAAGUCGAACGGCAGCACGGGGGCAACCCUGGUGGCGAGUGGCGAACGGGUGAGGAAACCAUCGGAACGUGCCCGAGAGUGGGGGAUAACGCCGCGAAAGCGGCGCUAAUACCGCAUAUUCUCUGAGGAGGAAAGUGGGGGACCGCAAGGCCUCACGCUCCCGGAGCGGCCGAUGUCGGAUUAGCUAGUUGGUGGGGUAAAGGCUUACCAAGGCGACGAUCCGUAGCUGGUCUGAGAGGAUGAUCAGCCACACUGGGACUGAGACACGGCCCAGACUCCUACGGGAGGCAGCAGUAGGGAAUAUUGCACAAUGGAGGAAACUCUGAUGCAGCGACGCCGCGUGAGUGAUGAAGGCCUUCGGGUUGUAAAGCUCUGUUCUCAGGGAAAAAGAAAGUGAUUGUACCUGAGGAGAAAGGACCGGACUAACUUCGUGCCAGCAGCCGCGGUAAU